AUGGCCGGCGACCAAGAGGAGUCGGAGCGGGAGUCCCCGGCGCCGGCUGCGGAGCGGGUCGCCGCCGCGGUGGAGACCGUGGCGGCGCCCGGGGAGUUCCGGAACGCUUACCGGCGGCAGCUGCUGGCGCUGUCCCGCCGGAUUCGCCUCCUCGGACCCUUCGCCGAGGAGCUCCGCGAGCGCCGCCGCCCCCCGGGGGAGGAGGAGGAGCGGGCGCUGGCGACGCUCGCCGACGCGCUGGAGAAGGCGCUCGAGCUGCUCAAGCUCGGCCGCGAGGGGAGCAGGAUCUCUUUGGUUUUUAAUAGGGAUAGAGUAAUGAAUAUAUUUCAGGAAGUAGUUGCUCAGUUGGAACAAGCUUUGCACGACUUUCCAUACAAUGAACUGGAUAUAUCGGAUGAAGUUAGAGAACAGGUUGAGUUAGUGCAUGCACAGCUGAAAAGAGCAAAAGAACGGGUUGAUAUGCCUGAUGAUGAGUUCUACAACGACCUAAUAUCUCUGUAUAACAAGACCUAUGACCCAAGUGCGGAACUGGCUAUCCUUGAAAGGUUGUCAGAAAAGCUACACCUCAUGACUAUCACUGAUCUCACGCAAGAGUCACUUGCUCUGCAUGAGAUGGUGGCAUCUGGUGGUGGCCAGGAUCCAGGAGAGCACAUUGAGAAAUUGUCAAUGCUACUGAAGAAAAUCAAGGACUUUGUGCAAACUAACAACCCUGAGAUGGGCCCUCCUAUGGCUUCCAAAAUAAUGGAUACCAGUGGGGACCAGAAAUCUGUCAUCGUUCCUGAUGAAUUCCGUUGUCCAAUUUCUCUCGAGCUGAUGAAAGAUCCUGUGAUAGUUGCUACUGGCCAGACAUAUGAAAGGUCGUGCAUCGAGAAAUGGCUAGCAUCUGGGCAUCACACUUGCCCAACUACGCAACAAAGGAUGGCGAACACAACAUUGACGGCAAACUAUGUCCUUAGAAGUCUCAUCUCCCAGUGGUGUGAAACCAACGGAAUUGAAGCGCCUAAGCGCUCAUCCCAGCCUAGCAAGCCAAUGCCAGCAUGCUCUUCUAGUGAACGUGCUAACAUUGAUGCUCUAUUAUCCAAGUUAUGCUCUCCAGACCCUGAGGAGCAGAGGUCAGCUGCUGCAGAGCUUCGCCUCCUCGCAAAGCGGAACGCACACAACCGACUAUGCAUUGCUGAGGCUGGUGCAAUUCCCUUACUAUUGAGUCUGUUAUCGUCAUCUGACUUGCGGACUCAGGAACAUGCUGUUACUGCACUUCUGAACCUCUCCAUACACGAGGACAACAAGGCAAGCAUCAUGUCCUCUGGUGCUGUGCCUAGUGUUGUUCAUGUGCUGAAGAAUGGCAGUAUGGAGGCCCGGGAAAAUGCUGCAGCCACACUUUUUAGCCUCUCUGUGGUCGAUGAAUACAAAGUAAUGAUUGGGGGAACAGGGGCUAUCCCUGCCCUUGUAGUGUUGCUAAGUGAGGGCAGCCAGCGGGGUAAGAAAGACGCAGCAGCAGCUCUCUUCAACUUGUGCAUUUACCAAGGUAACAAAGGCCGUGCGAUACGAGCUGGCCUUGUGCCACUCAUCAUGGGUCUAGUAACCAACCCCACAGGAGCUCUCAUGGACGAGGCUAUGGCGAUACUCUCAAUACUAUCCAGCCACCAAGAGGGGAAGGCAGCUAUCGGGGCAGCAGAGCCUGUUCCUGCGCUUGUCGAGUUGCUCGGAAGUGGGUCACCGAGAAACAGAGAGAAUGCUGCAGCUGUGAUGCUGCAUCUGUGCAGCGGCGAGCAACAGCUUGUGCAUUUAGCCCGUGCGCAUGAGUGCGGGAUCAUGGUUCCGUUGCGGGAGCUGGCAUUGAACGGCACAGAAAGGGGAAAGAGGAAGGCAGUGCAGUUGCUCGAGCGGAUGAGCAGAUUCGUGGUUCAGCAACAAGAGGAACAGGAAUCUAAUUCUCGGCUGCAGGCCGCCGUGGCACAAGUUCUCCCUCAGGCCCCUGAACAGGUCCAAGAAAGGGACAUCCCCGAUCAAUUGGACAGUCCGGCAUCUCAAUACCCCACGUUGUUAUGA
RNAcentral lists this ribosomal RNA (2049 nucleotides) under Triticum aestivum (bread wheat). RNAcentral describes it as "partial small subunit ribosomal RNA". The record is from RNAcentral. Lineage: Eukaryota; Viridiplantae; Streptophyta; Magnoliopsida; Poales; Poaceae.